UGGGGAAUAUUGGGCAAUGGGCGAAAGCCUGACCCAGCGAUACCGCGUGAGUGAUGAAGGCCCUUGGGUUGUAAAGCUCUGUCGGAGGGGAAGAAACAGCCGGUUAACAACCGGCGCUGACGGUACCCUCGAAGGAAGCACCGGCAAACUUCGUGCCAGCAGCCGCGGUAAUACGAAGGGUGCAAGCGUUGUUCGGAAUCAUUGGGCGUAAAGAGCGUGUAGGCGGCUUGUUUAGUCGCUUGUGAAAUCCCUCGGCUCAACCGGGGAACUGCAAGCGAUACUGGCAAGCUAGAGUGUCGGAGGGGAUAGUGGAAUUUCCAGUGUAGGGGUGAAAUCCGUAGAUAUUGGAAGGAACACCUGUGGCGAAGGCGGCUAUCUGGACGAUUACUGACGCUGAGGCGCGAAAGCAUGGGUAGCAAACAGG
RNAcentral lists this ribosomal RNA (424 nucleotides) under uncultured bacterium. Its description in RNAcentral is "bacterial SSU rRNA". It matches the Rfam family "Bacterial small subunit ribosomal RNA", at positions 355 to 776 of the family's 1533-position model. The record is from RNAcentral.